CACAAAUGUGGUAUACACACGAUGAGCCUGGCAGGGAAGCAAAUGAGACCAGGCUUGGAGCUACAGGGAUUUAAAAAAAUUGGAUGUCUUUCUGAGGGUCUGAGAAGAAUAGGGCAGAAGAGGAAAGGGUCACUUUAGGGGUCUGGCUUAACCCACUGCCUAGAUCUCCAACUGAAGAGCUCCUUUCCCAUCCUCAGGGGAAGAGUGCCUGUUUUCAAACGGCAUCCCUACUACACAUAUACCCCCC
This 247-nucleotide long non-coding RNA is filed under the name Homo sapiens (human). Its description in RNAcentral is "lncAB10.1". Lineage: Eukaryota; Metazoa; Chordata; Mammalia; Primates; Hominidae. The record is from RNAcentral.